GACGAACGCUGGCGGCGUGCUUAACACAUGCAAGUCGAACGGAAAGGCCCCUUUGGGGGUACUCGAGUGGCGAACGGGUGGGUAACACGUGAGUAACCUGCCCUUGACUUCGGGCUAACUUCAGGAAACUGGGGCUAAUACCGGAUCGGAAUCCUUGCUGCAUGGUGGGGGUUGGAAAGCUUCGGCGGAUUUGUGUGGACUCGCGGGUUAUCGGCUUGUUGGUGGGGUAGUGGCUUACCAAGGCGUUGACGGGUAGCAGGCCUGAGAGGGCGACCGGCCACAUUGGGACUGAGAUACGGCCCAGACGCCUACGGGAGGAAGCAGUGGGGAAUAUUGCACAAUGGGCGGAAGCCUGAUGCAGCAACGCCGCGUGCGUGAGGACUGCCUUGGGGUUGUAAACCGCUUUCAGCAGGGGCGAAGCUUGUGGUGACGGUACCUGCAGAAGAAGCACCGGCUAACUACGUG
Molecule: ribosomal RNA, 465 nt
Filed under: uncultured bacterium
Lineage: Bacteria
Description: partial 16S ribosomal RNA
Rfam family: Bacterial small subunit ribosomal RNA
Source: RNAcentral